RNAcentral lists this ribosomal RNA (307 nucleotides) under Vibrionaceae bacterium. RNAcentral's name for it is "bacterial SSU rRNA". It matches the Rfam family "Bacterial small subunit ribosomal RNA", at positions 1014 to 1320 of the family's 1533-position model. Lineage: Bacteria; Pseudomonadati; Pseudomonadota; Gammaproteobacteria; Vibrionales; Vibrionaceae. The record is from RNAcentral.
GUGCCUUCGGGAACUGUAAGACAGGUGCUGCAUGGCUGUCGUCAGCUCGUGUUGUGAAAUGUUGGGUUAAGUCCCGCAACGAGCGCAACCCUUAUCCUUGUUUGCCAGCACGUAAUGGUGGGAACUCCAGGGAGACUGCCGGUGAUAAACCGGAGGAAGGUGGGGACGACGUCAAGUCAUCAUGGCCCUUACGAGUAGGGCUACACACGUGCUACAAUGGCGCAUACAGAGGGCAGCAAGCUAGCGAUAGUGAGCGAAUCCCAAAAAGUGCGUCGUAGUCCGGAUUGGAGUCUGCAACUCGACUCCA